ACACUCCUGCGGGAGGCAGCAGUAGGGAAUCUUCCACAAUGGGUGCAAACCUGAUGGAGCAAUGCCGCGUGAGUGAAGAAGGUCUUCGGAUCGUAAAGCUCUGUUGUUAGAGAAGAACACGUGCUAGGUAACUACUAGCGCCUUGACGGUAUCUAACCAGAAAGUCACGGCUAACUACGUGCCAGCAGCCGCGGUAAUACGUAGGUGACAAGCGUUGUCCGGAUUUAUUGGGCGUAAAGGGAGCGCAGGCGGUCUGUUUAGUCUAAUGUGAAAGCCCACGGCUUAACCGUGGAACGGCAUUGGAAACUGACAGACUUGAAUGUAGAAGAGGAAAAUGGAAUUCCAAGUGUAGCGGUGGAAUGCGUAGAUAUUUGGAGGAACACCAGUGGCGAAGGCGAUUUUCUGGUCUAACAUUGACGCUGAGGCUCGAAAGCGUGGGGAGCGAACAGGAUUAGAAACCCUAGUAGUCCCA
RNAcentral lists this ribosomal RNA (472 nucleotides) under uncultured organism. RNAcentral describes it as "partial 16S ribosomal RNA". It matches the Rfam family "Bacterial small subunit ribosomal RNA", at positions 333 to 797 of the family's 1533-position model. The record is from RNAcentral.